Molecule: ribosomal RNA, 602 nt
Filed under: Synechocystis sp. LEGE 07211
Lineage: Bacteria; Bacillati; Cyanobacteriota; Cyanophyceae; Synechococcales; Merismopediaceae
Description: bacterial SSU rRNA
Rfam family: Bacterial small subunit ribosomal RNA
Source: RNAcentral
UGAUAACGCGUGAGAACCUACCUUCAGAAUGGGGACAACAGUUGGAAACGACUGCUAAUACCCAAUGUGCCGAAAGGUGAAAGAUUUAUCGUCUGAAGAUGGGCUCGCGUCUGAUUAGCUAGAUGGUGGGGUAAGAGCCUACCAUGGCAACGAUCAGUAGCUGGUCUGAGAGGAUGAGCAGCCACACUGGGACUGAGACACGGCCCAGACUCCUACGGGAGGCAGCAGUGGGGAAUUUUCCGCAAUGGGCGAAAGCCUGACGGAGCAAUACCGCGUGAGGGAGGAAGGUCCUUGGAUUGUAAACCUCUUUUAUCAGGGAAGAAGUUCUGACGGUACCUGAUGAAUAAGCAUCGGCUAACUCCGUGCCAGCAGCCGCGGUAAUACGGAGGAUGCAAGCGUUAUCCGGAAUUAUUGGGCGUAAAGCGUCCGUAGGUGGUUAUGCAAGUCUGCCGUUAAAGAAUGGAGCUUAACUCCAUAGGAGCGGUGGAAACUGCAAGACUAGAGUACAGUAGGGGUAGCAGGAAUUCCCAGUGUAGCGGUGAAAUGCGUAGAUAUUGGGAAGAACAUCGGUGGCGAAAGCGUGCUACUGGCUGAAACUGACA